RNAcentral lists this ribosomal RNA (154 nucleotides) under uncultured bacterium. Its description in RNAcentral is "partial 16S ribosomal RNA". It matches the Rfam family "Bacterial small subunit ribosomal RNA", at positions 362 to 509 of the family's 1533-position model. The record is from RNAcentral.
UCUUCCACAUGGACGAAAGUCUGAUGGAGCAACGCCGCGUGAGUGAAGAAGGGUUUCGGCUCGUAAAGCUCUGUUGGUAGUGAAGAAAGAUAGAGGUAGUAACUGGCCUUUAUUUGACGGUAAUUACUUAGAAAGUCACGGCUAACUACGUGCC